This 240-nucleotide unclassified non-coding RNA is filed under the name soil metagenome. RNAcentral describes it as "partial contains 5.8S ribosomal RNA, internal transcribed spacer 2, and large subunit ribosomal RNA". The record is from RNAcentral.
AACUGAUACUACCUGCGGGAACCUGCGGAAGGAUCAUUAACGAGUUAGGGUCUUCUAGGCCUGACCUCCCAACCCUUUGUUUACUAUACCACUGUUGCUUCGGCGGGCCCGUCUUUACGACCGCCGGAGGAUCGCUGAAAGGCGUCGUCCUCUGGCCCGCGUCCGCCGAGAGCCAACCACUUAAAAUUCUGUAUGAAUCGUGUCUUACGUCUAAGUCUAUGAUUAAAUCAAAAAAAAGCA